GUAUGUAACACUACCAAAUAACUCUUUCCAUGAAAUGGGAAACUUGUUAGACCUCAUGGCACAGCUGAGUUUUGUAAUAGCAAAGGAUUAUGGACCACAUGUUAAUUUAGGAUAGCAUAUAAUCACAUAAUUGUUAGAACUAUAUUUCAGAAGUUGUUAACUUUAGUAUGCAACUUUAUUUUAUACAUCAUGAUGAGAUAUGCUUUAUAGUCUGGAAGCAGGUCCCAUCAGAGAGCCUUAGGUUGCGGGGUAGAACUACUUGCUUUGAUCAAAUCAUCCAUUGAGGAAAAACAAUCAGAAGGCCUAGAUGGCAUUUUGUGAUCAAAACUACCUGUUCGGUUGACCAGAUAUCCAUUUUUCAUCUUGGUUGGGUGGAUCAUAAGUCCGGCCUAGCAUGGUGUCUUGGGUUUUAGUUCUGCCAGAGACCACAAUAGGACACAAAUCCUGCUGAUCUGACUCAUUUCAAUUCAUAUGUCAGCCCUUAUGUGGUGGUAAAAAAAAAAAAAAAAUUUAUCUUGCCAGUUUUAUUUUCCUUGGCUCUUACGUGAAGAUUAUGAAAGUUCCUUUCCCUGGAGCCUGUUACAUAAUGUGGACGCCAUAUACCAAAAGCUGAUUGAGAGGAGAAACCAAGACAGCAGGUAUGAAGCUCGUGUCACAAAAUCUGGGUUUGUCCUAAGACCUACAGAGAGCAUCCUGGAGGAAUCCACCAGAGUUAUUCCAGCAGACACUCAGAUAUAAGAGCUGGAUGGCCCCGUCCCAGGCUUAUGUGAGGUAAAAUAAGUGUUUGAAUUUUAUUAAAAAAUAACUAGUGACAUUCUCUUGCGGCGCAGUAGGUUAAUGAUCCUGCAUUGUCACUGUAGCAGCUUGGGUCACUGCUGUGGUGCAGGUUCAACCUCUGCCCUGGGAAAUUCCACAUGCUAGGGACACAGCAAAAAAAAAAAAAAAAAAAAAAAAAAAGAGUAUUUCUUACAGGCAUUAAGAUCACACAUCCAUUUAAAAAUAUUUAAUAUUCUAAGAAAAAAGAUACGGUGGAGGCUACAAAAGAUUCCGAUUGGCUCCGUUCCUUCCUCCUUUUUUCU
Molecule: long non-coding RNA, 1079 nt
Filed under: Sus scrofa (pig)
Lineage: Eukaryota; Metazoa; Chordata; Mammalia; Artiodactyla; Suidae
Description: lncRNA (ENSSSCG00060012248.1)
Source: RNAcentral